UUCUCGAAUUCAGAAGAUUUAUUUAUUUUGCUGUAAUAAUCAUUAUAAAAUUGAAAUGAAAUGUUAAUAUAUCUAGUUUUCUAAGAAAUUUAAUUUUAUUUAUUUGUAUGGGGAAAAGCUUGUAUUAGGAUUAGAAGUUUUGUUAUAUUUAGGUUAUUAGAAUUAAUAAUUAAAUUAAUGUUGAAAAAAUGUUAAAAUUAGUAUAAGGUUAAUAAAAGGAAUUCGGCAAAUAUUUUCCACCUGUUUAUUAAAAACAUGGCUUUUCGAGUAUAAUUUAAAGUCUAACCUGCCCUAUGAGGCCGCGGUAUUUUGACCGUGCAAAGGUAGCAUAAUAAUUAGUUCCUUAAUUAGGAGCUGGAAUGAAUGGUUGAAUGAGAAAAUUACUGUCUUUUUUUAAUUGAAUUUUAUUUUUAAGUAAGAAAGCUUAAAUUUAAUUAAAAGACGAGAAGACCCUAUAGAGUUUUAUUUUGAUUGGGGCGAUUGAAAAAUUAAUUAAACUUUUGAUUAAAAGAAUUAAUUACCUUAGGGAUAACAGCGUAAUCUUUCUAAGAGUUCAAAUUGAAAGAAGGGGUUGCGACCUCGA
Molecule: ribosomal RNA, 583 nt
Filed under: Demonax transilis
Lineage: Eukaryota; Metazoa; Arthropoda; Insecta; Coleoptera; Cerambycidae
Description: partial large subunit ribosomal RNA
Rfam family: Archaeal large subunit ribosomal RNA (bases 209-397)
Source: RNAcentral